This 253-nucleotide ribosomal RNA is filed under the name uncultured bacterium. RNAcentral describes it as "partial 16S ribosomal RNA". It matches the Rfam family "Bacterial small subunit ribosomal RNA", at positions 524 to 776 of the family's 1533-position model. The record is from RNAcentral.
UACGUAGGGUGCAAGCGUUGUCCGGAAUUAUUGGGCGUAAAGGGCUCGUAGGCGGCGUGUCGCGUCGGGAGUGAAAGCCCGUUGCUUAACGGCGGGUUGGCUUUCGGUACGGGCAUGCUGGAGUGCGGCAGGGGAGACUGGAAUUCCUGGUGUAGCGGUGGAAUGCGCAGAUAUCAGGAGGAACACUGGUGGCGAAGGCGGGUCUCUGGGCCGUUACUGACGCUGAGGAGCGAAAGCGUGGGGAGCGAACAGG